GUCUGGUUACCUGAGCCAGGUCUGGGGCCAGGCAGCAUGCAUUCUAGUCCUGCCUGGGACACUCACUGGCCUCAAGAUCUUGGGCAAAACAGCUGACUGCUUUGCACCUCAGUUUCCUCAUCUGUAAGGUCCAGGACUACCCACUUCCCUUGGAAUGGUGUUGCCAUCACUGUUCUGGCACCGGAGGUAAGGAUUCUACAUCGUUAGGAGAAAAGAAAAAGGAGAAUUUGGGCUUGCACUGAGAGGAUUACCUUUGGUGGUCUGGAAGUGGUGGGGUUGCAGCAUUGAAGGCACCAUCUUGGAAGCAGAGACUAGACCCUCACCAAGCAAUUAACAUGCUGGUGCAUUGAUCUUGGACUUUCCAGCCUCCAGAACUGUGAGAAAUAAAUUUCUGUUCUUAAUUAAUUACCCAGUCCCAGGUAUUCUGUUAUAGCAGCACAAAGCUUAGACGGGCUCCUUACAUCUUGAGGCUCCAUUAUCUCCUGGGAACUGGGAGUCCUUAGGUUCUAGCCAUGGAAAGAGAAACAAAAGAUGGAGAAGGCACACAUGCUUCUUAAUGGUCGUGGUUCAGAAGUAACAAAUACUAAUUCUAUAUAUUCUACUGGCUCAACACAAAUGCAGGGGUGUGCUGGGAAUGGAGUCUCUGAUUGGGCAGCAGGGAUCAGGGAUCAAAGAUCAGGAAAUAUUCCAGGGUGAAUAUUUUACUAGGUGAGGAGGACCAUGAAUUUUGACAAACAGCCUUUGCUGCUCUACCCACUCCUCAUCAUCACUGUUAGACACAAAGAGAAAUGGCAGCACUUUUUGUCCAUUGAUUGUAACUCUUUCUUUAAAGACUUUUAAGGCAGAAUCUCAAUUCAUCUCUUCUAUGAAACUUUCAUGAUUCAAAGGGAAGUCCCUGCAUGGACACUGCCAGCUUCAUUGCACUUCUGCCUCUAUGCUUUUUCCUGAACCUUCUCCACCUCUGGAACGUACUUCAGGCUGCACAGGGAGCAUGGCUGGGAGGCCUCAGGAAACUGACAAUCAUCAGUAGAAGAUGAAGAGGAAGGAGGCGCAUCUUACAUGGCCAGAGAAGGAGGAAGAAUAAGAAGGGAUUCUCCAGCUGGAGCCCUAUAAAUUGGACUGACAAAAGACAGAUUAGCAAGAGAAAUGCAAGCAGCAGUUUAUUAACAUGUGCAUCAUGAUUACACAUGGAAGUACCCAGAGGUCAUAAGACCUCAUGUGACAAGUGCCCUCCUUACUCCCAGAGAAAAGGAAGGAAGACACAGAAACACCACGAAGAAUAUGGACAAACAGACCUUGCUAAGUUCCCCCCCAUUUAUUACCAUGACAUCAUACUCCCUUUGUCCAAUCACACUUUCAUCAAACCUGAGCAUGAAAAUACACAGGUUUCUCUGUUUGGGGGGUGGGUCUUCAUUUUUGAAGUUUCCAUGUCAUGUAAAACUUAUAUUAAAGAAAUGUGUAUGUUUUACCCUUGUUAAUUU
RNAcentral lists this long non-coding RNA (1481 nucleotides) under Homo sapiens (human). RNAcentral describes it as "non-protein coding lnc-DTNBP1-16:33". The record is from RNAcentral. Lineage: Eukaryota; Metazoa; Chordata; Mammalia; Primates; Hominidae.